UACGUAGGGGGCAAGCGUUGUCCGGAUUUAUUGGGCGUAAAGAGCUCGUAGGCGGUGUGUCACGUCGGCCGUGAAAACCUGCAGCUUAACUGUGGGCGUGCGGUCGAUACGGGCAUCACUGGAGUUCGGCAGGGGAGACUGGAAUUCCUGGUGUAGCGGUGAAAUGCGCAGAUACCAGGAGGAACACCGGUGGCGAAGGCGGGUCUCUGGGCCGAUACUGACGCUGAGGAGCGAAAGCGUGGGGAGCAAACAGG
This 254-nucleotide ribosomal RNA is filed under the name uncultured bacterium. RNAcentral's name for it is "partial 16S ribosomal RNA". It matches the Rfam family "Bacterial small subunit ribosomal RNA", at positions 524 to 776 of the family's 1533-position model. The record is from RNAcentral.